Long non-coding RNA from Scylla paramamosain (green mud crab), 1270 nucleotides. RefSeq lists it as uncharacterized. The record is from RefSeq and is a predicted model, not a curated record. The transcript is spliced from 6 exons. Lineage: Eukaryota; Metazoa; Arthropoda; Malacostraca; Decapoda; Portunidae.
GCUGCUGGUGCUGCUACUGCCAGGAGACUGUUAACACAGGCCUAGGGGUGGCGUGGGGGAGGGAGAGGGGAGCGGAAAAAAACUGAAAGCCUUUGUCAGUGAAAAACUCCCCAGUAAUUUAUCAUUGGAUGAUAAUUAGUAUAAAGAAAUAUUGAAGUCUGCGCCCUGUGAGGCUUAAUCGUUUUAUUAUAUAAUUAACGUCGUUUGGAGGGAAAAAAAAUUCAAACAGCUUAUUGCCAACGGCAAAUUUUGAUGCAUGAAGUUACAGCUCAUAAUAUUGAAAUAACGUACGUCUCUUCCUCUAUUUUGAAAAUAGGGAGCCAUCAUUUUGUAGCAUAAUUUUACUUUUAUCAUAUGCUUCUCCGCCACGUUCCGCUCCAUCCCGGACUGCCCCGCCCCAUCCCGGCCUGCCCCGCCCCAUCCCGACCGAAACCGGCCGCAGGAGAGAGCCACACUCUGGCCGUUGUUUUGGGGCCGCAGCCCUGGGCCUCACCCCGCCGCCCUUAAUGGUAAUCACACCGUCGCCUCUAAAUUCAGCUGGAAGUGAAUAGGUUUAAAAAUAAUCCUAAUACAAUUAUCCCAACAGUAGGGUCGGCAGAGGGGAGCAGCAGAGGCAGGGAGGAGUGCCGGGGAGACACAGUAACUUGAGACGAGCCACAGCAGACAGAGUGCUGAUGCCGGGUGACAGAGCGUGCAUUUGUACCGGCUCACCUUACACCUGGCCGGGUGGUGUGUGUCCUCAUCUCCAUAACGGGGACACGGGUGCAUUGGAAGGAGGAACAGUCAGUGUUCUGAACACACUGAACAGCAGAGGAAGCAGGUGUAGAAGUGGAAGGUUCCAGUGAUUCACGAGUCUCCGGAGCUCAAGAGGGAGAGAAAGCUGCCCCGCCCUGCAGGAAGAGAUGCAGGCCAGGUUCUGCCUUAGUUAUCCAUCGGUCAUCGCUCAAAAAUUGGCCUUUCGAGCAGGUAAUUCAGUAAUCUUCAGGGAGCACCGAGAGACUCACCGGCGAACAGAACAUGACUCAUACCUCAUGUCUGGCCUCCCGACCUCUCACCCUCUCCGUCAGCGUCCGUCACAGUGAGGCCACCACCAGAAUCGACUUGUAGCUGUCAAUCUUGCCGCAGGACAUCUGUGUGACUCAUGGCUGACCUCUUGAUGCUACAGCGACGAGUGACCGGUUCCAACAAAACACUGCGAAGGGCGAUGGAGCAGCGGGUCUGGAUUGCCUCGUCUGGCGGCGACAUGUCGCUAAAGGUCAGUAACUGGAAG